GGUUCGGUCGCAGAGUCUGGUACUGCAAUUGACUUUUAAUCUUUGAGGACGUGGGUUCAAAUCCCACCCGAACCAC
This 76-nucleotide transfer RNA is filed under the name Streptomyces phage LilMartin. Its description in RNAcentral is "tRNA-Lys". It matches the Rfam family "tRNA". Rfam says of the family: Transfer RNA (tRNA) molecules are approximately 80 nucleotides in length. Their secondary structure includes four short double-helical elements and three loops (D, anti-codon, and T loops). RNAcentral also lists the same sequence under 3 other names. Lineage: Duplodnaviria; Heunggongvirae; Uroviricota; Caudoviricetes; Stanwilliamsviridae. The record is from RNAcentral.